Molecule: ribosomal RNA, 1438 nt
Filed under: uncultured prokaryote
Description: partial 16S ribosomal RNA
Rfam family: Bacterial small subunit ribosomal RNA
Source: RNAcentral
GAUGAACGCUAGCGGGAGGCCUAACACAUGCAAGUCGAACGGGAUUGGUAGCAAUACCAUGAGAGUGGCGCACGGGUGAGUAACGCGUAUGCAACCUACCUGUAACAGAGGGAUAGCCCAUAGAAAUGUGGAUUAAUACCUCAUAGUCCUGGAGAGUCGCAUGGCUUUUCAGGUAAAACUCCGGUGGUUUGAGAUGGGCAUGCGUGACAUUAGCUUGUUGGUGAGGUAACGGCUCACCAAGGCAACGAUGUCUAGGGGGUCUUAAAGGAUGAUCCCCCACACUGGUACUGAGACACGGACCAGACUCCUACGGGAGGCAGCAGUGAGGAAUAUUGGUCAAUGGGCGCAAGCCUGAACCAGCCAUCCCGCGUGUAGGAUGAAAGCCCUAUGGGUUGUAAACUACUUUUUUAUGGGAAGAAAAUUCUGUACGUGUACAGAACUGACGGUACCAUACGAAUAAGCAUCGGCUAACUCCGUGCCAGCAGCCGCGGUAAUACGGAGGAUGCAAGCGUUAUCCGGAUUUAUUAGGUUUAAAGGGUGUGUAGGCGGAGCAGUAAGUCAGUGGUGAAAUCCUGCGGCUUAACCGUAGAACUGCCAUUGAAACUACUGCCCUUGAGUACAGUUGAGGUAGGCGGAAUGUGUCAUGUAGCGGUGAAAUGCAUAGAGAUGACACAGAACACCGAUUGCGUAGGCAGCUUACUAAACUGUUAUUGACGCUGAGGCACGAAAGCGUGGGGAGCGAACAGGAUUAGAUACCCUGGUAGUCCACGCCGUAAACGAUGAUUACUCGUUGUAUGCGAUACACAGUAUGCGACUGAGCGAAAGCAUUAAGUAAUCCACCUGGGGAGUACGAUCGCAAGAUUGAAACUCAAAGGAAUUGACGGGGGCCCGCACAAGCGGAGGAACAUGUGGUUUAAUUCGAUGAUACGCGAGGAACCUUACCUGGGCUAAAAUGUAGUAUGACCGUACCCGAAAGGGUAUUUUCUUCGGACGUUUUACAAGGUGCUGCAUGGUUGUCGUCAGCUCGUGCCGUGAGGUGUCGGGUUAAGUCCCAUAACGAGCGCAACCCCUAUCUUUAGUUGCCAGCGAGUAAUGUCGGGGACUCUAAAGAAACUGCCCGCGCAAGCGGAGAGGAAGGUGGGGACGACGUCAGGUCAUCACGGCCCUUAUGUCCAGGGCUACACACGUGCUACAAUGGCGGAUACAAAGGGCAGCUACCUGGUGACAGGAUGCUAAUCUCGAAAGUCCGUCCUAGUUCGGAUCGAAGUCUGCAACUCGACUUCGUGAAGCUGGAAUCGCUAGUAAUCGCGCAUCAGCCAUGGCGCGGUGAAUACGUUCCCGGGCCUUGUACACACCGCCCGUCAAACAAUGGAAGCUGGGGGUACCUGAAGUCGGUCACCGUAAGGAGCCGCCUAGGGUAAAAUCAGUAACUGGUGUU